RNAcentral lists this ribosomal RNA (254 nucleotides) under uncultured bacterium. RNAcentral describes it as "partial 16S ribosomal RNA". It matches the Rfam family "Bacterial small subunit ribosomal RNA", at positions 524 to 776 of the family's 1533-position model. The record is from RNAcentral.
UACAGAGGGUGCGAGCGUUGUCCGGAAUCACUGGGCGUAAAGGGCGCGUAGGUGGUGGCUUAAGCGUGCGGUGAAAGCUCGGGGCUCAACCCCGAGUCGGCCGUGCGAACUGGGCUCACUGGAGCAUAGUAGAGGCAGGUGGAAUUCCGGGUGUAGCGGUGGAAUGCGUAGAUAUCAGGAGGAACACCGGUGGUGUAGACGGCUCACUGGACCGUAACUGACGCUGAGACACGAAAGCGUGGGUAGCAAACAGG